AGUGAACGCUGGCGGUAGGCCUAACACAUGCAAGUCGAACGGCAGCACAGUAAGAGCUUGCUCUUACGGGUGGCGAGUGGCGGAAGGGUGAGGAAUACAUCGGAAUCUACUUUUUCGGGGGGGCUAACGUAGGGAAACGUACGCUAAUACCGCAUACGACCUACGGGUGAAAGCAGGGGAUCUUCGGACCUUGCGGGAUUGAAUGAGCCGAGGUCGGAUUAGCUAGUUGGCGGGGUAAAGGCCCACCAAGGCGACGAUCGGUAGCUGGUAUGAGAGGAUGAUCCGCCACACGGGAAGAGAGAAACGGCACAGACUCUGACGGUAGGCCGCAGCGGGGAAUACUGGGGAAGGGGGGAAAGGGGGAUCUAGGCCUACCGGGGGAGGGAAGAAGGCGCUAGGGUUGGUAAGCCAUUUUGGCGGGAAAGAAAUGAAGCAGUUUAACACCCCACUGUUCUGACGGUACCGAAAGAAUAAGCACCGGCUAACUUCGUG
Molecule: ribosomal RNA, 492 nt
Filed under: uncultured bacterium
Lineage: Bacteria
Description: partial 16S ribosomal RNA
Rfam family: Bacterial small subunit ribosomal RNA
Source: RNAcentral